This 435-nucleotide ribosomal RNA is filed under the name uncultured bacterium. RNAcentral's name for it is "partial 16S ribosomal RNA". It matches the Rfam family "Bacterial small subunit ribosomal RNA", at positions 29 to 507 of the family's 1533-position model. The record is from RNAcentral.
AACGAACGCUGGCGGCAGGCCUAACACAUGCAAGUCGAGCGGACAUCUUCGGAUGUUAGCGGCGGACGGGUGUGUAACGCGUGGGAACGUGCCCUUUGCUUCGGAAUAGCCUCGGGAAACUGGGAGUAAUACCGGAUGUACCCUUUGGGGGAAAGAUUUAUCGGCAAAGGAUCGGCCCGCGUUGGAUUAGGUAGUUGGUGGGGUAAUGGCCUACCAAGCCGACGAUCCAUAGCUGGUUUGAGAGGAUGAUCAGCCACACUGGGACUGAGACACGGCCCAGACUCCUACGGGAGGCAGCAGUGGGGAAUCUUAGACAAUGGGGGAAACCCUGAUCUAGCCAUGCCGCGUGAGCGAUGAAGGCCUUAGGGUUGUAAAGCUCUUUCACCGGGGAAGAUAAUGACGGUACCCGGAGAAGAAGCCCCGGCUAACUCCGUG